This 464-nucleotide ribosomal RNA is filed under the name uncultured bacterium. RNAcentral's name for it is "partial 16S ribosomal RNA". It matches the Rfam family "Bacterial small subunit ribosomal RNA", at positions 339 to 795 of the family's 1533-position model. The record is from RNAcentral.
CUACGGGUCGCUGCAGUGAGGAAUUUUGCGCAAUGGGGGAAACCCUGACGCAGCAACGCCGCGUGAGCGAAGAAGGCCUUCGGGUCGUAAAGCUCUGUCAAGUGGGAAAAAAAUUCUUUGAUGAACAGUCAAAGGACUUGAUGGUACCACUGGAGGAAGCCCCGGCUAACUCCGUGCCAGCCGCCGCGGUAAUACGGAGGGUGCAAGCGUUGUUCGGAAUUACUGGGCGUAAAGAGCGUGUAGGCGGUUUGACAAGUCAGAUGUGAAAGCCCCGGGCUCAACCCGGGAAGUGCAUUUGAAACUGUUUCACUAGAGUAUGGGAGAGGAGAGUGGAAUUCCUGGUGUAGAGGUGAAAUUCGUAGAUAUCAGGAGGAACACCCGUGGCGAAGGCGAUUCUCUGGACCAAUACUGACGCUGAGACGCGAAAGCGUGGGGGGCAAACAGGAUUAGAUACCCCGGUAGUC